RNAcentral lists this ribosomal RNA (253 nucleotides) under uncultured bacterium. RNAcentral describes it as "partial 16S ribosomal RNA". It matches the Rfam family "Bacterial small subunit ribosomal RNA", at positions 524 to 776 of the family's 1533-position model. The record is from RNAcentral.
GACGUAGGGCGCGAGCGUUGUCCGGAUUUAUUGGGCGUAAAGAGCUCGUAGGCGGCUUGUUGCGUCAGCUGUGAAAACCCGCAGCUCAACUGUGGGCUUGCAGCUGAUACGGGCAGGCUUGAGUUCGGUAGGGGAGACUGGAAUUCCUGGUGUAGCGGUGAAAUGCGCAGAUAUCAGGAGGAACACCGGUGGCGAAGGCGGCAUCCUGGACCAAUUCUGACGCUGAGGAGCGAAAGCCAGGGGAGCAAACGGG